This 425-nucleotide ribosomal RNA is filed under the name uncultured bacterium. Its description in RNAcentral is "bacterial SSU rRNA". It matches the Rfam family "Bacterial small subunit ribosomal RNA", at positions 356 to 773 of the family's 1533-position model. The record is from RNAcentral.
GGGGAAUUUUGGACAAUGGGGGAAACCCUGAUCCAGCCAUGCCGCGUGCAGGAUGAAGGCCUUCGGGUUGUAAACUGCUUUUGUACGGAACGAAAAGGUCUUUUCUAAUAAAGAAGGCUGAUGACGGUACCGUAAGAAUAAGCACCGGCUAACUACGUGCCAGCAGCCGCGGUAAUACGUAGGGUGCGAGCGUUAAUCGGAAUUACUGGGCGUAAAGCGUGCGCAGGCGGUUAUGCAAGACAGAUGUGAAAUCCCCGGGCUCAACCUGGGAACUGCAUUAGUGACUGCAUAGCUAGAGUGCGGCAGAGGGGGAUGGAAUUCCGCGUGUAGCAGUGAAAUGCGUAGAUAUGCGGAGGAACACCGAUGGCGAAGGCAAUCCCCUGGGCCUGCACUGACGCUCAUGCACGAAAGCGUGGGGAGCAAAC